This 253-nucleotide ribosomal RNA is filed under the name uncultured bacterium. RNAcentral describes it as "partial 16S ribosomal RNA". It matches the Rfam family "Bacterial small subunit ribosomal RNA", at positions 524 to 776 of the family's 1533-position model. The record is from RNAcentral.
UACGUAGGUGGCAAGCGUUGUCCGGAAUUAUUGGGCGUAAAGAGCUCGUAGGCGGUUUGUCGCGUCUGCUGUGAAAACUCGAGGCUCAACCUCGGGCUUGCAGUGGGUACGGGCAGACUAGAGUGCGGUAGGGGUGACUGGAAUUCCUGGUGUAGCGGUGGAAUGCGCAGAUAUCAGGAGGAACACCGAUGGCGAAGGCAGGUCACUGGGCCGCAACUGACGCUGAGGAGCGAAAGCAUGGGGAGCGAACAGG